AUGAUACAAACGUAUAACUUCAAGGGCGGAAGAUGCAAUUUUCUUUAUAACUGUAAAUUUAAUUUAUUGCUCUCUCAACUUCCUAUAGCAAGCAAUUCCUCUAGCUUGAGGGUGUCUGUUUGUGCAGUCUUUCUUGCAUUUCAGACUCAAAUCUUGAAAGCUCAGAUGCUGCGUGGCUAUUUCUUUCUUAAUUAA
This is a non-coding RNA of Vicia faba (fava bean), 195 nucleotides long. Lineage: Eukaryota; Viridiplantae; Streptophyta; Magnoliopsida; Fabales; Fabaceae. The record is from the annotation of a GenBank genome assembly.